This 1479-nucleotide long non-coding RNA is filed under the name Gadus morhua (Atlantic cod). Its description in RNAcentral is "lncRNA (ENSGMOG00000025989.1)". Lineage: Eukaryota; Metazoa; Chordata; Actinopteri; Gadiformes; Gadidae. The record is from RNAcentral.
AUGUUCCAAGCCCUGCAAAAGGCGUGCAGAAGGCCAUACAGCCUUCACAGUUCACGACGCGAAGGAGAGAAGGGUCGGACCUGCAGAGAGCUCGGUGGAGCCGCAGCAGUGUCUCGCAGACACAUGCAUGUGUACAAGCACACACCAGUGCCCAACAUCACACAUGUGUCCCCCUUCCCCAAAUCAUUAUUCAUUAAAAAUGUUUGCCAGCGCGCAUCCAGGCUCCGAGCCGAGGGCGCAGCUGCUUGUGAAAACAAAAAAAAUGAAAAAAAUGAUAAACAUAAAAAAGGAACAGAACGUAAUAAGACGGUGCCUGGUGGGCAUGCGCUCCGGUGCGCAACCCACCACGCCCGUUCGGGCCGGCACGACAGCGGAACCAGCGACGCUGGGACCGCUGGCUGGCCGGGCUCAACAGUGGCGGACAUGUGGAGCGUCGGAUUGGGUUAUAAAAACUGUAACCGCCGGCUACAGGCUCCAAUUUGCGUCCACUCCUCCCCGUUUCAACGGGAUACUGCAGUCGCAGGCCCGUGGAGAGAAUGCUCAGGUUCUACAGGAGGAAAUCACCUCUCUAAGAAACAAAAGGGCAAUUCGGGUAGUGCCACCGGAGAAAAACCAAAGCGGUUUUUACUCGAGGUACUUUCUAGUCCCGAAGAAGGGAGGGGGCCUCCGGCCGAUAUUAGAUUUACGCGCUCUGAACAGAUACAUGAGACAGUACAAUUUCAGGAUGCUGACACACGCCGCUCUCAUACGCUUCGUGCGCCCGGGAGGCUGGUUCACAAGCAUAGAUCUGAGGGACGCUUAUUUCCAUAUCGCCAUUCAUCCCCCUCACAGGAAAUAUCUCAGGUUCGCCUUCCAGGGCGUAACGUACGAGUAUUUGGUUCUCCCGUUCGGCCUUUCGUUAAGUCCACGGGUGUUUGUGAAAUGCACGGAGGCUGCCAUCGCGUCCCUCAGGUUGAAGGGAAUGCGUUUGGCAACAUACAUAGACGACUGGCUUCUAGCCACACAGUCGCCCCAGGAGGCUCAGGCGCAGACCAGCGUGCUCAUAUCGCACCUAGUGUCCCUGGGUUUCACAAUAAACGUGAAAAAGAGUGUUUUGGUCCCUACUCAAAGCAUAACGUUCAUAGGCUUGUGCCUCGAUUCAGUGACGUUCAAAGCACGUCUAUCCGCGGAGAGAGUGGAAGCCUUUCAGGCUUGUCUGGCACUUUUUCGCAGGGGGACGAUGUUGACGUUCAGAACGUGCCUCAGACUAUUGGGUCUGAUGGCGUCGGCGCUGGUAGUAGUCCCACUUGGCCGCCUCCAUAUGAGGCCGGUUCAGCGAUGGGUUGCAUCACUCAGACUGAACCCGACGUGCCAUGGCCAUCGCCGGGUUUUGAUCUCCAUGGCGUGCGUCUCGGCGCUGCGCCCUUGGGGACGCGCGUACUUUCUGACUACAGGCGUUACCAUGGGAACUGUCCUGGCGAGGAAGGUCCUUUCAACGGA